UCCGCCUUCAAAGGCUUUGGCGCCAAGUUGCUGCUGCUCGGCGUGGUUGGAAGAUGCGGGGCCGGGAGCCUUUGGGAAAAGGGGCGAGCUGUCGGGCGGCCACCCCAAGGAGUGCGUGGCCAGGGUGUGGAGGGAGGCCGCUCGUCCUCCUCUGAAUGGGGUGCCUUCCCUGUGGCCUCCCUUCCCGAGGACCCCGUGGUGAAGGAGGGUGUGGCCGAAGCGCCUGUUCCCGUGGUGUGUGUGUGUGCGGAAAGCCGGUGCCAUCUUCCUUCCCGGGAGCUGGGCAUGAGCCCCCAUCGUGCUGUGUGUCCCGGGCCCAGUGAGCAGGACUGCGGUGUCCUGAGGAGUCCCUUGGCUUGCAGUGAAGGAGUGGGGUGUGCGCGGUGAAGGGAGAUGCGGCAGCUAGGCCUGCAGCGGGGAGGGCCAUGGCGCCGAGAUCCAGGCCUUGAGCCUCCACGCGGCUCGGAAGGUGCUGGAGCAGCUGCUCUGCGCACCCCGGAUCUGAGGCCGACGGAGUGGACGCAGCCAGAGGAGGCUGUGAAGGCCUGUGCCCGUGGUCUGCAGUGACAUGGGGACGCCCGGCAGGGGUUGCGGGGAGACGGCCACUUGUGCUGGAGGCUGGAAGGAGCGCGGAGCGGAUCAGAUGGGCUCACCUGCGGCCUUGUGCUUCGCUGUGUGAGUUUGUCUUAAAGGACCCUGUGCGUGUGCUUCAGCCCUGGUAGUUCUUCCCGCGUGCGAGAGUGAUGUGCGGGGAGAGAAGGCGUGGGUCAGCAGCGGGGAGGCAGGCCCCCAGUGGAAGGCAGAGGCGCCCCGUGUGCGCGCGUGGGGUGUAGACACGCUCCCGGUGCUCAGCGAG
This is a long non-coding RNA of Ochotona curzoniae (black-lipped pika), 856 nucleotides long. RefSeq lists it as uncharacterized. Lineage: Eukaryota; Metazoa; Chordata; Mammalia; Lagomorpha; Ochotonidae. The record is from RefSeq and is a predicted model, not a curated record. The transcript is spliced from 3 exons.